AUGAUUCGUUUACAGAAAUGUCGAUGCUUCAAGGGUUUUGGUCAUCUAUUGUUUCUAGAGCUGAAGAAGAGACUUCAAAAUGUUGGCAUUCACAUCUUCUGUUGGGGAGACAAAUAUUGUGUGUUUGGGGCUGUUACGCAUGAGAAAUCGAAAGUUGAGUUGUCGCAACAACAUAGUAAUAAGUCUUCUCCUGAGGUUGUACGCGACCCACGAUUUGAAUCUCUCAGUGGAGAACAUGGUGAUGCAUUGUUUAAGACGGGAAGCAGUGAUGGAAUUGCAUCAUUAGAAGGAACAUCCAUCCAGCUUUAG
This is a non-coding RNA of Vicia faba (fava bean), 309 nucleotides long. NCBI's taxonomy places the organism in Eukaryota, Viridiplantae, Streptophyta, Magnoliopsida, Fabales, Fabaceae. The record is from the annotation of a GenBank genome assembly.